Molecule: unclassified non-coding RNA, 217 nt
Filed under: plant metagenome
Description: partial contains small subunit ribosomal RNA and internal transcribed spacer 1
Rfam family: Eukaryotic small subunit ribosomal RNA (bases 1-46)
Source: RNAcentral
AAGUCGUAACAAGGUUUCCGUAGGUGAACCUGCGGAAGGAUCAUUAGAGAUAAAGUACGACCCCUUCGGGGGGGACUUCUCACACCCUAUGUUUAUACACCAUUGUUGCUUUGGCCGGCCGCGGCCUCCGCUGCGGGCUUCAACGCUCGCACGUGCCGGCCAGAGGACCCAACUCUUGAUUUUAAGUGAUGUCAUGAGUACUAUUAAAUAGUUAAAA